This 497-nucleotide ribosomal RNA is filed under the name uncultured bacterium. RNAcentral's name for it is "partial 16S ribosomal RNA". It matches the Rfam family "Bacterial small subunit ribosomal RNA", at positions 28 to 507 of the family's 1533-position model. The record is from RNAcentral.
GAUGAACGCUGGCGGCGUGCCUAAUACAUGCAAGUCGAGCGAACAGAUGAGGCUCUUGCUCCUCUGACGUUAGCGGCGGACGGGUGAGUCACACGUGUAUAACCUACCUAUAAGACUGGGAUAACUUCGGGAAACCGGCGCUAAUCGCGGAUAAUAUAUUGAACCACGUGGGUCGAUAGUGAAAGACGGUUGUGCUGUCACUUAUAGAUGGAUCCGCGCCGCAUUAGCUAGUUGGUAAGGUCAAGGCUUACCAAGGCAAGGAUGCGUAGCCGACGUGAGAGAGUGAUAGGCGACCUGGGAGGGUGACCACGGACCAGGCUCCUGCGGGAGGGACCAGUAGGGAACCGGCGGCAAUAGGCGAAAGCUUGACGGAGCAAGCGCGCGUGAGUGAUGAAGGUCUUCGGAUCGUAAAACUCUGUUACUAGGGAAGAACCAAUUUGGAAGGAACUAUGCCCUUAUUGACGGUAACGAGUCAGAAAGCCACGGCUAACUACGUG